RNAcentral lists this ribosomal RNA (480 nucleotides) under uncultured bacterium. RNAcentral describes it as "bacterial SSU rRNA". It matches the Rfam family "Bacterial small subunit ribosomal RNA", at positions 33 to 507 of the family's 1533-position model. The record is from RNAcentral.
ACGCUGGCGGCGUGGAUUAGGCAUGCAAGUCGAACGGUAUCAUCCUUCGGGGGUGAGAGAGUGGCGAACUGGUGAGUAACACGUAGGUUAUCUACCCUCAAGACGGGGACAACCCAGGGAAACUUGGGCUAAUACCGGAUGUGAGCAACUUUUAGUGUUUGAAAGGUGGCGUAAGCUGUCGCUUGGGGAUGAGCCUGCGUCCUAUUAGUUAGUUGGUGAGGUAACGGCUCACCUAGGCAAUGAUAGGUAGGCGGCCUUAACGGGUGGUCGCCCACACUGGGAUUGAGAUACGGCCCAGACUCCUACGGGAGGCAGCAGUCGAGAAUAGUCUACAAUGGUCGGAAGACUGAUAGUGCGACGCCGCGUGAACGAUGAAUCCCUUCGGGGUGUAAAGUUCUUUUAUAUGUGAGCAGUGCUUCUUAUAUUAACAGUAUAGGGAGAGAGAUAUUAGCAUAUGAAUAAGCAACGGCUAACUCCGUG